RNAcentral lists this transfer RNA (76 nucleotides) under Gluconobacter morbifer G707. RNAcentral describes it as "tRNA-Ala". It matches the Rfam family "tRNA". From Rfam's summary of the family: Transfer RNA (tRNA) molecules are approximately 80 nucleotides in length. The record is from RNAcentral. Lineage: Bacteria; Pseudomonadati; Pseudomonadota; Alphaproteobacteria; Acetobacterales; Acetobacteraceae.
GGGGCCAUAGCUCAGUUGGGAGAGCGCUUGAAUGGCAUUCAAGAGGUCGUGAGUUCGAUUCUCAUUGGCUCCACCA